GUUCUGUGCCAGAGACCUGAGGCCUGUGUCCAGACUCAUGCUAGGAAGAUGGAGGUACCGAGCUAGUAUCCUGACAAAGUCCCGCUUGGCUUCAGCCAGGAGCCUGGAAGUGCUGUAGCCGGAACUCUGUGUCAGUGCUUUCACCAUUACCAACCUAGCAUGUCAUAUGUGCUGAGCCAGUGACCUCAUAGCAGCCCAUUCUUUGAUAUCAAUCCAGUAUGCUACAUUUGAGGAACAAGUGACCUCAUAGAGGACAUAAACCCAGAAACCUAGAGGUGCUGAAACAUUAACCACAUAAAGGCCUGUUGCCUUGGCGCCAGCCAUCAUUCUAGAAUGUGUUGAGAUUUGACUUUAUCCCAGCAAGCUAAAGGUCCUGAGCUGGUAACCCUCCAAGGCCUGUGCAUUUACAUUAACCCUGCAUGCUAUAAUUGAUACAGAAGAAAAAGCAGGUGACACCCAUGAGCUUCUCCCUCAUUGAGACUCUUUGAUUCAGGUUGUUAAAUCUGAGAGGAGCCAAAAGCAUUAGGGAAUGUCUGUGGGUGUGCCAAGAAAGACCCACUCACCCACCCAGUCAGCACAGUAAACUGUUACACUACUAUGUCAUUUAGAGGAAUACAAUGGUUUCAGAACUAA
Molecule: long non-coding RNA, 633 nt
Organism: Mauremys reevesii (Reeves's turtle)
Lineage: Eukaryota; Metazoa; Chordata; Testudines; Geoemydidae
Exons: 2
Source: RefSeq, a predicted model, not a curated record